This 1241-nucleotide ribosomal RNA is filed under the name metagenome. RNAcentral describes it as "bacterial LSU rRNA". It matches the Rfam family "Bacterial large subunit ribosomal RNA", at positions 1564 to 2815 of the family's 2925-position model. The record is from RNAcentral.
UGAAUACGAGAUGCUAAGGCGUCGAAGCAGUGUAUGUCAUGCUUCCAAGAAAAGCUUGCAAUGUCAUAAAUAAAAAGUGCCUGUACCAUAACCGACACAGGUGGGUAAGUAGAGUAUACUAAGGGGCGCGAGAUAACUCUCUCUAAGGAACUCGGCAAAAUAACUCCGUAACUUCGGGAGAAGGAGUGCCUUAUUCUUAAGGUUGCAAUAACAAGAUCCAAGCAACUGUUUAUCAAAAACACAGGUCUCCGCUAAGUCGUAAGACGAUGUAUGGGGGCUGACGCCUGCCCAGUGCCAGAAGGUUAAAGAAGUCGGUUAGCAAUUGCGAAGCUGGUAACUGAAGCCCUGGUGAACGGCGGCCGUAACGAUAACGGUCCUAAGGUAGCGAAAUUCCUUGUCGGGUAAGUUCCGACCCGCACGAAAGGCGUAAUGAUUUGGAUGCUGUCUCGGAGAGGGGCUCGGUGAAAUAGACUUGUCUGUGAAGAUGCGGACUACCUGCACCAGGACAGAAAGACCCUAUGAAGCUUUGCUGUAACUUGAAAUUGAAAUUGGACUUUAUUCGCGCAGUAUAGGUGGGAGGCGUUGAUUAUAAUCUUGCGGGAUUAUCGGAGCCAUCAGUGAGAUACCACUCUUCUAAUGUUAGAUUUCUAACUUUGAAUCAUUAUCUGGUCAAAGGACAAUUUCAGGCGGGCAGUUUGACUGGGGCGGUCGCCUCCUAAAUGGUAACGGAGGCGUACAAAGGUUUCCUCUGAACGGUUAGAAAUCGUAUCUAGAGUGUGAAGGCAUAAGGAAGCUUGACUGUGAGACCUACAAGUCGAGCAGGGACGAAAGUCGGUCUUAGUGAUCUGACGGUACUGAGUGGAAAGGCCGUCACUCAACGGAUAAAAGUUACUCUAGGAUAACAGGCUGAUCUCCCCCAAGAGUUCACAUCGACGGGGAGGUUUGGCACCUCGAUGUCGGCUCAUCGCAUCCUGGGGCGGUAGUACGUCCCAAGGGUUGGGCUGUUCGCCCAUGAAAGCGGUACGCGAGCUGGGUUCAGAACGUCGUGAGACAGUUCGGUCCAUAUCCGGUGUAGGCGUUAGAAUAUUGAGAGGAGCCUUCUUUAGUACGAGAGGACCGAGAAGGACAUACCUCUGGUGUACCAGUUAUCGUGCCAACGGUAAACGCUGGGUAGCUAUGUAUGGAGUGGAUAACCGCUGAAAGCAUCUAAGUGGGAAGCCCACCUCAAGAUAAGUAUUCUC